Long non-coding RNA from Callithrix jacchus (white-tufted-ear marmoset), 2595 nucleotides. The record is from Ensembl. NCBI's taxonomy places the organism in Eukaryota, Metazoa, Chordata, Mammalia, Primates, Cebidae.
CCAUUGACUUUCUUCACAGAUUUAGAAAAAACUACUUUAAAUUUCAUGUCGAACCCAAAAAAGCCUAUAGAGCCAAGACAAUCCUAAGCAAAAAGAACAAGGCUGAAGGCAUCACACUACCUGACUUCAAACUAUACUACAAGGCUGCAGUAACCAAAACAGCAUGCUACUGGUACCAAAACAGACAUAUAGACCAAUGAAACAGAACAGAAGCCUCAGAAAUAACGCCACACAUCUACAACCAUCUGGUCUGACGAAACUGACAAAACAAGCAGUGGGGAAAGGAUUCCUUGUUGAAUAAAUGGUAUUGGGGAGUUUUCCUCAGCUUUGGGUGGUGGCCGCUGCCGGGCUUCGGCUUCCAGUCCGCGGAGGGCGAGGCGGCGUGGACAGCGGUCCCGGCAUCCAGUGCCCAGCCCCAGCCGCCCACAAGCCGCGUGCCCGUCCGCCGAGCCCCGAGCCUGCCGCUUCCCUUCUCAGCGCCCUGCCGCUGCCGCAUCGCCGCGGCCCAGCGAGCGGCCCAGAUGCAGGCCAUCAAGUGUGUGGUGGUGGGAGACGUCUUUGACAAUUAUUCUGCCAAUGUUAUGGUAGAUGGAAAACCGGUGAAUCUGGGCUUAUGGGAUACAGCUGGACAAGAAGAUUAUGACAGAUUACGCCCCCAUCCUAUCCGCUAACAGAUGUGUUCUUAAUUUGCUUUUCCCUUGUGAGUCCUGCAUCAUUUGAAAAUGUCCGUGCAAAGUGGUAUCCUGAGGUGCGGCACCACUGUCCCAAAACUCCCAUCAUCCUAGUGGGACCUAAACUUGAUCUUAGGGAUGAUAAAGACACGAUCGAGAAACUGAAAGAGAAGAAGCUGACUCCGAUCACCUAUCCGCAGGGUCUAGCCAUGGCUAAGGAGAUUGGUGCUGUAAAAUACCUGGAGGGCUCCGCGCUCACACAGCGAGGCCUCAAGACAGUGUUUGACGAAGCGAUCCCAGCAGUUCUCUGCCCACCUCCCGUGAAGAAGAGGAAGAGGAAAUGCCUGCUGCUGUAAAUGUCUCAGUCCCUUCUUCUUGCCCUGUCCCUUGGAACCUUUGUACACUUUGCUCAAAAAAUGGUGGAGCCUUCGCACUGAAUGCCAACUUUUUGUUACAGAUUAAUUUUUCCAUAAAACCACUUUGAACCAAUCAGUAAUUUUAAGGUUUUGUUUGUUCUAAAUGUAAGAGUUCAGACUCAUAUUCUAUUAAAAUUUAGCCCUAAAAUGACAAGCCUUCUUAAAGCCUUAUUUUUUAAAAGCCCCUAUUCUUGCUCAGAUUAAGAGUUGUCAAAAUACCUUCUGAACUAUGCUGCUUUGUUGUGCUGAGAACACCGAGCACUAAACUGUGUAAGACCUUCGUCUUUCAGAAGACCGUAGCUUCUGCAGUUAGGAGAUGCAGACACUUUCUAAGUAGUUUCCAGAUGCAAAGCAGAACAGCCUCCCAAAUGAAGCGUUGCCAUUAAACUCACCAGUGAUGUAUCAGCCCAUGUUCACGACCUAACACUGUACUGAAAUGGAAUGGGUGUAAACAGCUCAGUUCUUUGGAUCAGUCUUUUUGAUUUCAUAGUGAGUUUUCUAAAAAUUAGUUGAUCAGCUUUUGCUGAGAUUUUGAACAGAACUCAUGUGUUUCCUCUAACGAAGUAUUCUGUUUGGUUGUGGGUGUGCCAGGAGGGGUGUGUGUGAUCAAAGGACGAAGACGGUAUUUUGACAAAAUACGAAGUGGAGAGUUACACUACACUGUACAAGGAAUAAAAGUGUCACGGGUAAAAACUCUAAAAGGUUAAUUUCUGUCAAAUGCAGUAGAUGAUGAAAGAAAGGUUGGUAUUAUCAGGAAGUGUUUUCUUAAGCUUUUCCUUUCUCUUGCACCUGCCAUCCUUCCCCAUAUUGGGCAUUUAAUUCAUCUUUAAACUGGUCGUUCCCUUAGUUGCUAACUUAGUAAGUGCUUUUCUUAUAGAACCCCUUCUUACUGAGCAAUAUGCCUCCUUGUAUUAUAAAAUCUUUCUGAUAAUGCAUUAGUUUUUUUUGUAGAUUAGUAAAAGUGCUUUCCAUGUUACUUUAUUCAGAGCUAAUAAGCGCUUUCCUUAGUUGUCUAGUAACUAAAUGUAAAAAUCAUGCGUUGCAGCUUUAUAGUUUUUAAAAUAUUUUAGAUAAUUCUUAAACUAUGAACCUUCUUAACAUCACUGUCUUGACGGAUUACCGACACUGUCACUUGACCAAUACUGACCCUCUUGACCUCGCCCACGCGGACACACGCUUCCUGUAGUUGCUUUGCCUAAUGAUGUUCCUUUGGGUCUGUGAGGUUCUAUAAACUGUGCUAGUGCUGACGAUGUUCUGUACAACUUAACUCACUGGCAAGAAUACAACAUUGGACCUUUCAGCCACUACAACAUUUUUUAAAUUGACAGUUGCAGAAUUGUGGAGUGUUUUACAUUGAUCUUUUGCUAAUGCAAUUAGCACUAUGUUUUGCAUGUAUGCCUUAAUAAAUCCUUGAAUCAUAAAAAAAAUGGUAUUGGGAUAACUGACUGGCCAUAUACAGAAAACUGAAACAGAACACCUUCCUUACAUCUUCUACAAAAAUUAACUCA